UACAGAGGUCCCAAGCGUUGUUCGGAAUCACUGGGCGUAAAGGGUGCGUAGGCGGUAUAGUAAGACUUGGGUGAAAUCUCCAUGCUUAACGUGGAGGGAGCCUGGGAGACUGCUGUGCUAGAGGAUUGGAAGGGAGACUGGAAUUCUUGGAGUAGCAGUGAAAUGCGUAGAUAUCAAGAGGAACACCAGUGGCGAAGGCGAGUCUCUGGACAAGACCUGACGCUGAGGCACGAAGGCCAGGGGAUCAAACGGGAUUAGAUACCCCGGUAGUCCUGGCAGUAAACGGUGCACACUUGCUGUGUGAGGGAUCGACCCCUUACGUGGCGAAGCAAACGCGAUAAGUGUGCCGCCUGGGGAGUACGGUCGCAAGACUAAA
RNAcentral lists this ribosomal RNA (376 nucleotides) under uncultured bacterium. Its description in RNAcentral is "bacterial SSU rRNA". It matches the Rfam family "Bacterial small subunit ribosomal RNA", at positions 524 to 898 of the family's 1533-position model. The record is from RNAcentral.